RNAcentral lists this transfer RNA (60 nucleotides) under Klebsiella pneumoniae. RNAcentral's name for it is "tRNA-Ser". It matches the Rfam family "tRNA", at positions 17 to 71 of the family's 71-position model. Rfam says of the family: Transfer RNA (tRNA) molecules are approximately 80 nucleotides in length. Their secondary structure includes four short double-helical elements and three loops (D, anti-codon, and T loops). Lineage: Bacteria; Pseudomonadati; Pseudomonadota; Gammaproteobacteria; Enterobacterales; Enterobacteriaceae. The record is from RNAcentral.
GGUUAGAGCACCACCUUGACAUGGUGGGGGUCGUUGGUUCGAGUCCAAUCGAACGCACCA